Molecule: ribosomal RNA, 497 nt
Filed under: uncultured bacterium
Lineage: Bacteria
Description: partial 16S ribosomal RNA
Rfam family: Bacterial small subunit ribosomal RNA
Source: RNAcentral
GAUGAACGCUGGCGGCGUGCCUAAUACAUGCAAGUAGAACGCUGAAGCUUGGUGCUUGCACCGAGCGGAUGAGUUGCGAACGGGUGAGUAACGCGUAGGUAACCUGCCUCUUAGCGGGGGAUAACUAUUGGAAACGAUAGCUAAUACCGCAUAAAAGUCGAUAUCGCAUGAUAUUGAUUUGAAAGGUGCAAAUGCAUCACUAAGAGAUGGACCUGCGUUGUAUUAGCUAGUUGGUGAGGUAACGGCUCACCAAGGCGACGAUACAUAGCCGACCUGAGAGGGUGAUAGGCCACACUGGGACUGAGACACGGCCCAGACUCCUACGGGAGGCAGCAGUAGGGAAUCUUCGGCAAUGGGGGCAACCCUGACCGAGCAACGCCGCGUGAGUGAAGAAGGGUUUCGGAUCGUAAAGCUCUGUUGUAAGAGAAGAACGAGUGUGAGAGUGGAAAGUUCACACUGUGACGGUAACUUACCAGAAAGGGACGGCUAACUACGUG